GCUCUGACAGCUAUGCACUACUGUACCGCAGAGCAAGCAGUGCAAUAGCAUUGUCAAAGCCU
Molecule: microRNA precursor, 62 nt
Filed under: Eptatretus burgeri (inshore hagfish)
Lineage: Eukaryota; Metazoa; Chordata; Myxini; Myxiniformes; Myxinidae
Description: Ebu-Mir-130-P2e_pre stem-loop
Source: RNAcentral